AUGCUCACUUCAAAAGCAAAUGUACUAAAAAUUGGAAUGAUACAGAGAAGCUUAGUAUAGCACCUGCACAAGGAUGGCAUGCAAGAUUGUGAUGUACUUGAUAAAGGGUGUUU
Small nuclear RNA from Neogale vison (American mink), 113 nucleotides. The record is from Ensembl. Lineage: Eukaryota; Metazoa; Chordata; Mammalia; Carnivora; Mustelidae.